Gymnothorax javanicus (giant moray) is the source of this 73-nucleotide non-coding RNA. NCBI's taxonomy places the organism in Eukaryota, Metazoa, Chordata, Actinopteri, Anguilliformes, Muraenidae. The record is from the annotation of a GenBank genome assembly.
GCCCCAGUGGCUCAUUGGUCUAAGUGCGUGCGCCAUAACCGCGGCGACGCGGGUUCGAUUCCAGCUUGGGUCA